This 468-nucleotide ribosomal RNA is filed under the name uncultured bacterium. RNAcentral describes it as "partial 16S ribosomal RNA". It matches the Rfam family "Bacterial small subunit ribosomal RNA", at positions 28 to 507 of the family's 1533-position model. The record is from RNAcentral.
GACGAACGCUGGCGGCGUGCUUAAUACAUGCAAGUCGAACGGAAAGGCCCUGCUUUUGCGGUGUGCCAGAGUGGCGAAAGGGUGGGUAACACGUGAGUCACCUGCCCUUGACAUUGUGAUAACUUCAGGAAACUGGGGCUCAUACCGGAUAGGAGAUCCUGCUCCAUGGUGGGCGUUGGAAAGGUUCGGCGGUUGGGGAUGGAAUGGCGGGUUAUCAGCUGGUUGGUGGGGGUGUGGCUUACCAAGGCUUUGACGGGUAGCAGGCCUGUGAGGGGGACGGGCCACAUUGGGACUGAGAUACGGCCCAGACUCCUACGGUAGGCAGCGGGGGGGAAUAUUGCACAAUGGGCGGAAGCCUGAUGCAGCAACGCCGCGUGCGGGAUGACGGCCUUCGGGUUGGAAACCGCUUUCGCCUGUGACGAAGCGUGAGUGACGGUAAUGGGUAAAGAAGCACCGGCUAACUACGUG